GACGAAGGAUGCAAGCGUUAUCCGGAUUCAUUGGGUUUAAAGGGCGCGUAGGUGGCGACCCAAGUCGAUGGUGAAAGCUCGCCGCUCAACGGCGAGUCGGCCACCGAUACUGGGUUGCUGGAGCACUGUAGAGGCUCAUGGAAUUCCGGGUGUAGCGGUGGAAUGCGUAGAGAUCCGGAAGAACACCGGUGGCGAAGGCGGUGAGCUGGGCAGUUGCUGACACUGAGGCGCGACAGCGUGGGGAGCAAACAGG
RNAcentral lists this ribosomal RNA (253 nucleotides) under uncultured bacterium. RNAcentral's name for it is "partial 16S ribosomal RNA". It matches the Rfam family "Bacterial small subunit ribosomal RNA", at positions 524 to 776 of the family's 1533-position model. The record is from RNAcentral.